Rosa rugosa (rugosa rose) is the source of this 1881-nucleotide long non-coding RNA. RefSeq lists it as uncharacterized. The record is from RefSeq and is a predicted model, not a curated record. The transcript has 6 exons. NCBI's taxonomy places the organism in Eukaryota, Viridiplantae, Streptophyta, Magnoliopsida, Rosales, Rosaceae.
CUCUCUAUCGUCGACAACUUUCUUCCUUGGCCUUUCUCUCGACAACUUGUAUUCAACAAAAUCAUUCCUCUACAAACCGCGACCCCGACCACGACCACGACCAUCACUCUUAGACAAACCCCGACCCCGACCGCAACCAUCACUCUUCGACAAUGCUAAGAUUAGAGCCAACUCUGCUUCAAGGGUUCUUCAAAUCGCUUCCCUUCCCAUCCCAUCGCUUUAGGGUUAUUCCCUUCCCAUUGCUGUAGGGUUCUUCAGAUCUAUUGGCGGUGGUGAUUGUUGCUUUAUUUGGUUGCUUGUGGCUUCGAUUGGCUUCGGCGGUAGUGUUGGAUUCGAUUUGGCAAUGGUUGUAGCUUUGCAGGCGGUGGUUGGUCUCGUGAGAGUUUGAAAUUGAGUUCUGGCGACUGUAGAUCUGAAUCGAACUCUCAAAUCAAUUUUGUUAUGAGGUAGCAUAGUAGGUUUGUCUGGGUUUUGAGAUUGGAAAUCUAAAUUUCUUUGAUUUCCCCAGAAUUUUAUCUCUGCUACCAUUUCUGUACAACAUUCUCCAUUGGCUAAUCAUACCAACCCACACAAUGACUUUAGGUACCUUUCCUUCAACAACGACGAGGCCAGAUCCCCAUUCAUUCUUUGCUGAAUUCGAAAUCCUCAAUUUUCUAGGGUUUCAAUUUUCAACCUCAAUUUCCUGUUGUUCUGAUAUCUGUUUUGUUUGAUAGUUUGUACUGAUUUGGUUCGCGGUGCCAAGGACAAGAGGCUUAGGGUGAAGGGACCAGUGAGGAUGCCUACCAAGGUUCUGCACAUUACCACCAGGAAGUCUCCCUGUGGAGAAGACAAAGUUUGACCCUGUGAGUAUAGGCUGUAUAGCUAUUUACUUGCUCCCAACUGGGAAUGUUUUGUGCCUUCAUUGGAUAUCGUGUGCAGAAAUAUGACAUUUCUACCUGGGAGAACCUCUUACGGUGUAAAAUUUCUCCUUAACAGGAGUUCUGGAGGUGUAUGGGACGUUGCUGCAUAAAUUGUUUACCUCUGAGCCUUGAUGCUCGAUGAUUUCACUCUCUUUAUGGCGUGCAAGUGAAAACAUAAAUGUGGUUUUGCUCAUAUUUUCAUAAGAGCAUUGCAGAUUAGCUUGGAGAGAGCUUGGACAACAACUUCAACUUCAACUGUUAUUUGGCUAUGUCAAGAAUGCCAAACUUUGAUUGAAGACCAUGAUAAGAUAAAGCUUCUCAGCAAUGCGAGGAAUAACUUGAAUACAACCUUAAAGGUUUGUGAACUUUGUUCUCAUGAAUUUUCAAUUUUCGGUUCACAAAGAGAAGGAGAUUGUGCAAGUAGUUAGAACUGUUUGCUUCAUGCAAGAAUGAUGAUUGAUGAAUACUUUUCAUUAUGUCUUAUUAGCACUUGAUUGCAGGGAUCCCAUACCUUCGGUAAUGUAACUUUCCAUUAGCCUUGAGAGUAAACCAAUUGUCACUCUGUAAACCAGUUGGUAAAGCUAAUAGUUUUUUUAAUUGUAUACAGGACGUGCAUAUAUAGACUAAAACUUUAUUCUUUGCAUAGCUGCUAAGCUUAUUUUCUUGUCUGGUUAGCAGCAGUGAGGCAGCGGUGGAUUCUGAGAAUGCUGUAGCUGCCGUAAAUGUAAGUACUUGGAGCACCAAAUGAGAGUAUUUGGCUGCUGUAUAAUUAGCACAACAACUUCCUGUAUUUGGGGCACUGCAACAUCCUAGAACUCUUUCAAUGAGGAAGCCCCAUUACUGUUCUUUAGGCCAUGGAGAGUGCCAAUGUUAUGAAGUGAAGCCUACUUUUGAAGACAAAAGCUAAGAAGAGCAGGAGAUCAGUGAAUAGAACUUGACUUGGAUUUUUUUCUGUUCUCUUAUUUUGUAGAUACAAUUGCAU